This 741-nucleotide ribosomal RNA is filed under the name uncultured Actinomyces sp. RNAcentral describes it as "bacterial SSU rRNA". It matches the Rfam family "Bacterial small subunit ribosomal RNA", at positions 28 to 761 of the family's 1533-position model. The record is from RNAcentral. Lineage: Bacteria; Bacillati; Actinomycetota; Actinomycetes; Actinomycetales; Actinomycetaceae.
GACGAACGCUGGCGGCGUGCUUAACACAUGCAAGUCGAACGCUGGAGCCCAGCUUGCUGGGUGGAUGAGUGGCGAACGGGUGAGUAACACGUGAGUAACCUGCCCCCUUCUUUGGGAUAACGCCCGGAAACGGGUGCUAAUACCGGAUAUUCACUGAUCUUCGCAUGGGGGUUGGUGGAAAGGUUUUUUCUGGUGGGGGAUGGGCUCGCGGCCUAUCGGCUUGUUGGUGGGGUGAUGGCCUACCAAGGCUUUGACGGGUAGCCGGCCUGAGAGGGUGACCGGUCACAUUGGGACUGAGAUACGGCCCAGACUCCUACGGGAGGCAGCAGUGGGGAAUAUUGCACAAUGGGCGAAAGCCUGAUGCAGCGACGCCGCGUGAGGGAUGACGGCCUUCGGGUUGUAAACCUCUUUCGCUCAUGGUCAAGCCGCAGCUUUGGGUUGUGGUGAGGGUAGUGGGUAAAGAAGCGCCGGCUAACUACGUGCCAGCAGCCGCGGUAAUACGUAGGGCGCGAGCGUUGUCCGGAAUUAUUGGGCGUAAAGGGCUUGUAGGCGGUUGGUCGCGUCUGCCGUGAAAUCCUCUGGCUUAACUGGGGGCGUGCGGUGGGUACGGGCUGACUUGAGUGCGGUAGGGGAGACUGGAACUCCUGGUGUAGCGGUGGGAAUGCGCAGAUAUCAGGAAGAAACACCGGUGGGCGAAGGCGGGGUCUCUGGGGCCGUUUCUGACGCUGAGGAGCGAAAGCU